GUUUAUAUUAAUAAUAGUCUGUGUGUGUGUGUUCAGGCGAUAGAGAGGGGUUUGGUGUUUGAGGUGUUGUACUCUCCAGCCAUCAAAGACUCCACCAGGAGGUGCUACACCAUACCAACGCUGUGUGUCUGAUGGAGACGUGUAAAGGGAAGCGUGUGAUCCUGUCCAGUGCCGUGGAGAAGUCUCUGGAGCUCAGAGGGCCCUAUGACAUCACCAACCUGUAUCCUUCCUAUUGGUUCAGACACAAACUGUAGUCUUCA
This is a long non-coding RNA of Sander lucioperca (pikeperch), 260 nucleotides long. RefSeq lists it as uncharacterized. The transcript has 3 exons. The record is from RefSeq and is a predicted model, not a curated record. NCBI's taxonomy places the organism in Eukaryota, Metazoa, Chordata, Actinopteri, Perciformes, Percidae.